This 72-nucleotide transfer RNA is filed under the name Camelus ferus (Wild Bactrian camel). It matches the Rfam family "tRNA". Rfam says of the family: Transfer RNA (tRNA) molecules are approximately 80 nucleotides in length. Their secondary structure includes four short double-helical elements and three loops (D, anti-codon, and T loops). The record is from Rfam by way of RNAcentral. Lineage: Eukaryota; Metazoa; Chordata; Mammalia; Artiodactyla; Camelidae.
GAGGAUAUAGCUCAAUGGUAGAGCACAUGCUUAGCAUGCACAAGGUCCUGGGUUCAAUCACCAGUACCUCCA